CCGAUUUGGAUGUGAAUAUUGACUCGAACCAAACAAUAUCUUGUGCAGGGUGAUGUUGUGACAGGUUCUUUCUCUGUCCCGAUCUCACUCUAUUAACAAGCAGUCUCAGCACCAUCCAAGGUCAUGCUGUUGAUCGCUGAAUAUUUGCACCUUGUUGAUGGGUGUCACAGGGCAUGUAUUGAAUGCUUGUAAGAACCGGUUUUCGUAGGACGCAAGUUCUGCCAGGAAUUUGGGCAAGAAGACCACGGCUUUCCGUAGACAGGGUAUCAAGG
Molecule: long non-coding RNA, 272 nt
Filed under: Coccomyxa subellipsoidea
Lineage: Eukaryota; Viridiplantae; Chlorophyta; Trebouxiophyceae; Coccomyxaceae
Description: long non-coding RNA (CSUB_LNC000595)
Source: RNAcentral